GAUGAACGCUAGCUACAGGCUUAACACAUGCAAGUCGAGGGGUAGCAGUGUAGCAAUACCGCUGACGACCGGCGCACGGGUGAGUAACACGUAUCCAACCUUCCCAUAACUCGGGGAUAGCCUUUCGAAAGAAAGAUUAAUACCCGAUAGUACUUUUUCAAGGCAUCUUGAAAAAGUUAAAGAUUUAUUGGUUAUGGAUGGGGAUGCGUUCCAUUAGAUAGUUGGUGAGGUAACGGCUCACCAAGUCUUCGAUGGAUAGGGGUUCUGAGAGGAAGGUCCCCCACAUUGGUACUGAGACACGGACCAAACUCCUACGGGAGGCAGCAGUGAGGAAUAUUGGUCAAUGGGCGAGAGCCUGAACCAGCCAAGUAGCGUGAAGGAUGAAGGUCCUAUGGAUUGUAAACUUCUUUUAUAGUAGAAUAAAGUGAGCCACGUGUGGUUUUUUGUAUGUAUACUAUGAAUAAGGAUCGGCUAACUCCGUGCCAGCCGCCGCCGUAA
RNAcentral lists this ribosomal RNA (498 nucleotides) under uncultured bacterium. RNAcentral describes it as "partial 16S ribosomal RNA". It matches the Rfam family "Bacterial small subunit ribosomal RNA", at positions 28 to 523 of the family's 1533-position model. The record is from RNAcentral.